This 5365-nucleotide long non-coding RNA is filed under the name Heterocephalus glaber (naked mole-rat). Its description in RNAcentral is "lncRNA (ENSHGLG00000035971.1)". The record is from RNAcentral. Lineage: Eukaryota; Metazoa; Chordata; Mammalia; Rodentia; Bathyergidae.
AUGCACUGUUCCUCCACCGCUGUGGUCAAUGAUUUCCAAAAUCAGGCCAGCCCUUAGACCUAUACCAUGUGACUUUCUGUAAAGCAGAGGUUUGGCUUAUUACUUGGUUAGCUGAGUGGACAAAGCUCUAGUCGUUCAACCCUGAACACAGGUCUGUCUGAACACAGGCAACUGAGCAGAUAAUUUUGUAGAUUCUCUAGUUCUGUAGGAAGUGUCCAAAGUGGAUAUAACAAGCUAACUAUGUGAUCAGAUGACAGAAAGACCCUAAUUAGAAGGACACCCAUGGACCAGCACCUGUAAAAGAGAAGAAACUUGCCAAAGUGAGCAAGGGUAGAUGCCACACAUGGAAGGCAAGCAGGAAAUAUUUCUUAUGUGACUCUCAAAGGGCUGCAUCUGGAGAACAUGAAGAUUUCAGUUUAACUGGCAUUUUGAGGCAUGCACAGGAGCUCACUGUUCUCAAGCUGUGCCAGGAUGGCAGGUGCAGCAGGACCAACGUCUCCGACCUAGAUGAUGAGCCAGCCUGCAUGGAAGAGGUUGACUACACUUCAGAUGGCAGCUCAGACCAGGAUGAGAGCAUCCUUGAGCUGGACCGGCAGAUCCAGGCAUGUGCCUUCAAUCAGGAUGAGGGAGAAGAAGAGGAGGGGACAAGGCAGAGAAGAAACACCAUCCUGUAAUCCUGAGGUUCAUAGAAACUCUGUUUCCAGUCACUGGACUCAGACACACACAGCGUGAAAUGGCCUGUGUGAGCUCCUGAUUUCAUUCUAGUUCUACUAUGCAUAGAGUCUGGUUACUUCUCGAUUAUAACAUUUUUCUACACUGCUGUACUGCCCUUGGAGCCUAUACAUGCUGCCGUUGCAAUUAGAAUGGGACUCCAUGGUAUGGGAUUACCAUGGGGCCUCUCCAGACAGCACUGAGCUCCCCUGCAUUCCUGUGCUUGAAGCUGAAGCUGGCUGGAAGCAGAGGAGUGGGCUUUCUUCCUGGUUUCUCAAUCAGAAAUCUAUAUGCCUUUAAAUUGUUCCAUAUAUGAGUGUUACAUCAACCAUAGCAUCUGAGCUUUCCAGCACCAACAUAAGCCACUGAAACUCUGAGGGUCCUGGAAGGGUCAGAAAGUAUUGGAUGAUUGAACAUAGAAGGCUGUGCAGUCAGGUAAUUGCAAAUAUCAUCCUGCAGGUCUGUAACAGUAUACAUUUUAUGGAUUUGGUAGAGGCCAGAAGCUCGGUUAGAUUCUAUGGAAUAAGACAUGAUCACUGGUCCUCGCAAAUUUCAAAACCCUACAUAUUCAGGCCAUUAAACACACUCGGGAAGACAGCGUGAUACCCUGGAAAAUGCAUUCAUUUCAGAAUCAGACAGACAAAUGAGGUUUGUAUCCUGGAUCUGGCAUUGCCUGUUAUGAAAAUGUAGGCAAGUAAUUGGAUCUCUCCAAACUUCAGAGUUUUUAUGCAUCCAGUAAGAAUGAGUGUAUGUAUACCAUGAAGUUAUCCCAAAGAUGAAAUGAGAUAUAAAAGUGUGCAGCUUGGCACAUGCUACACAAUAGUGUUGGCUUUUUCCCCUCCACAACACAAAGGUAUUAUAUGUAAGUAGUCUCACAGUUACACACAAAAAAAUGUUCUCUGGGGCCACAUGAUUGAGAAAUAUUCUUUCUCGAAGGGAUCUGGAAAGGAAGUUACAUGGAGGAAGAGCCUAGGUGAGUGAAUGGCUUGAGAGUCUGUGUGCAGAAGGAAGCAUCUCAGAAACAUGAUUGCUGAGGUUAGGGAGGUAGAUAGAAGGGGGACAAUGAUGAGGAGUAUAUUCUAAGUCAAAUACGAGUCUGUUCAAUGCCAUAUGUAUUUAAUCAGGAUUGGAUUUGGCUAUGAGAGAUGGAAAAUUCAAAAUACUAGUAGCUUUGGCAAGGUAUAAGUUUUCUUUCAUACAGAAUUUCACAUGUACAGAGGCCAGAGCUGGUACCUUGGCUGCAUUAUGUCAGAGACCCAGCUUCUAGUCCUCUAGCUCUGCCGUGUGUUGCUUCUAUUCUUGACCUAGAAUUGCUGCAAAAGCAUCAGCUUUUCUCUCUGCAUCCCAGAGAGCAGCAAAAAGAAUACCAAAAAAGAACAUGUUUCCUACUUUGGAAAAAAUCUAUGCAUGGUAUUUGUGCUUGAUCCCACCAACCAGAAAGUUGUCCAAUGACCACAGGUAACUGCAGGGGAGGUCCGAAAAUAUAGCCUUUAUCUGAGAUGGGCCCAGCUGAAAUUUAAAGUUUUAAUGCUAAGGGAAUUGGAAAUAAAAUAGUGUAUACUGGGUGAUCACGUACUUGAAAAAGAGAGUUUGCCUAGCAUACCACCACCCAAAGAGUUUUGAAGCUUUAAAAUAAUUCCAGAGAAUAUGUAUAGUGUUCGCUUGCUCUGAUCAGCAGAAAGAUACAGAGCAAAAGUUUGCCAUAGUUUAAGCAUAAGACAUAAGAGAAAAGCAUGUGUGUUGUGAUUUUGAUUUAGGGAAUUGAUAUUAUUACUUGAUAUUACUUGAUAUUAUAUUAUCUCUGCUGUUUCCUAUUCUUUUUCAGAGUUUCUGGUGUAGCUCAGAAAUUACACACCUAUCCUUCAUAUUAAGACAUUCAGAUUUCUAUGACAUACACAAGAGGUUUGAAGGAAAUAACAAAUCUGAAUUCAGAUCCCAAAGUAACAGCAUCUUUUAACUUCUCCUUUAUACAUUUUUGCCAAUUUUGAAUAGAGAAAUACAUAAUGCUCCUGGUUCUCCAUUGCUUUGAGGAGUUAUGAAAAAAAUAUUGCUGAAAUGUAAAUGCUGGAAAGGGGUGGGAACAAUACUAACUCGCUAUCAGCAAGUAAUACCUCAGCCCAAAUUAAUUUAUGAGAUUAAUUUGUGAUCAACUAGCACAGUUAUGAGAAAAAAGGGAGAAAAGCAGGUGAGUUUCAAUAUAGAAACUUCUGAAAAAAUCAGACACUUGGAACACUUAUUGAUUUAUCUAUACAACAAAGGUAUAUUAAUUGCCCACUGUGUGUCCUGCACUUUUUUAAGCUCUAAGAAUUUAGAGAAAGAAGAUUUACUAUGAACUCAAGUUACUGUAACUUGAUAAGUAAGAAUAGCAAGUAUUUUAUUUUAAGAUAGGGACAUAUAACAUUAUGGGAAUCUGAAAAUGAUAAUAUGGAAAACCCUUAAGAUUGUGGUGGCAAAAGUCUACUAGAAGAUGAAAAUGUAGAUGACAUGUUCAGAAGUUUCAGGCAGGACAUGUUAAGAAAUAGAGAAAGCUUGAAUAGAGGACCUGUGGUAAGGUUAGGACAUGGACUAAAAUGUUCAGUGUUACUAGUUUAAAGAAUAUAGUUGUAUAUUGAGAAACAAGGAAAAUAGCAAGAGAUUAAGUAGAAAAACUAGAUACUAGAUAGCAAUCAGAUGUAACAAUAUUUGCUAUGCCCUGAGGAAGGAGUUGAACUUAAUUCCCAGCGUGGUAGGGGAGAACUACAAAACUUUUCAGCAGUGGCAUGUCUAGAACUACGCACAAUACUAGCACACGUGUCAGCACCAUAGUCCCAACCUGUUCGUAGCCUAGAGUCUGGCACUCUUGCCAGGCUGGUUGUUGACUACCGUGAGGCUACUGCUGGGUGUGGCAUUUUGAUACCUGAAGAACAAUAUUUACAGCGAGGUAAAGAUUAUGGUGCCAUGCUGGUUGUUGGAGACCAACAAGCUACUGGAUUGGAAAGGACCCCUGCAAGCCAGAGGCAUGUCGGGAAAAGGAAGCAUAAGGAGAAGUAUAUACGGAUAAGCACACUCUUAUUGCCCCCUCCAUUCACACACACUACUUGUUGAGCCACACAACACCGUAAGUAUACCAAUUGCUUUUUAGAACCAUUUUUCAGGUUUCUGUUGCUUCUGCUGAGCUUCUCUUCUCCGAUUACCCUAUUUGAGGCAAUGAAAACCCGUUCAGAUUCACCUUUCUCCUUUUAUAAACACCAAAGCCAACUUACACAACCUGUCUUCUGUGCACCAUUGUAUUAUUUAUACAUCUAUUUAGCAGCACACUUUCCAGCUUCUAUACACUGUAUACCCUCACCCCAGGCAGUAGUGAGUAAUGAGCUCUAAAAUGCAUGAACCUGCUAUUAUUUUGGGAUCCCUCUUCCCACCACGCAAACUUUCUGACAUGUUGAAGGUAUUCAGGAAAAUGUGUCCCCUGCUUGACUCCCAGCUUCCAAACUAGACAUCUAAUAUCUUAAUAUCUCAUACAUUUCCUUGCCUUUCUCCAAUUUUCUAUCUUCAAUCAGAGUUUGUGUUAUAUGAAAGAAAAAUAGUUUCAUGAAAAGGGCAUCUUGCAAAGGUACAGAACCUCCCCAGCAGGCAGUUGCCAUGGAAGGCUGCUUCCAGAGUGAGGCCAGCUUAAGAAGGAUCCGGUGGCCUUGUCCUCACUGGUGUAACGCAGACACUUGGACUGAGCAGUGACAAUGGAGCAAAGGCGCCUCUAAGUUUCCCUGGUGGCUGCCGCAUUCAUCCGGGUGCUCUGGACCAUGCAGUCACUUUGGUGGGAACUGGCUGGGUGGCUCCGUGUGCCUUGUACCAACUUGACUGCUUGGGUGCUUUGCUUCUUGCAAUCCCACCAGCGAGUAUCAGCAUCCAAGGAUUCCAUCCACUGGCUCCAGGUUCUCUUAAGCCUCCAGAGAAAAGGAUUCAGAGUCAUAAAGAACAUUUGAGAUUAACCUGGUCCCUGAGCUACAAGCACACAUUGAGGGCUGCCAACACCAAUAAAGUCACAUUAAACUCCCAACCACAGGAGAAAUUCUCACAUGCAGCUUCCAUUCAUUAGCCUGGAGACUUAGCUGUAGAGUUGAUUUCAUGUUCCAAGAGAAGAGGCUUCUAUGAAAUGCCUGACAUAAGUCAUCCUUGUUAGGAAUUAGCACAGUGACCCACGUGGUGGAUCUGGACAUUUGGGUUAGCAUUAGAGUGAUGGAUUUAUUUUGCCCCGCUGGUACCCCUCACCCCUGCUCCCAAAAGCUUCCAUCUUCCAAAGAUGCAUAGACAGUAGACUGCUCCUCACCACAAGAGUUUUGGUCUAGAGCUGCUGCUAUCUGCCGAACAAGGUCCUCUUUUGUUUGUGUUGGAAUUUGGCUACAUGAAUGCCCUCUUGAUUCUUGAUUUUUAAAACGUGUUGUUUAGAUAAAAAUGAGUGGUAAAAAGGACUUUUGAAAUAAAAAUGGAUUGGAUUGCAUCUUUUCAGUGCCUAGUGAUAAAAAGAUAAUUUUGUAUGUAAUGUAAAAAGCAUCUACUUCAUACAUGCCAGCACAGUGAGGCUGAAAUUGAACUUAAACUCCCUACCACAUCUUCCUCCCCAGCACACACACAUACACACACAGAGAAAGAGUACUUAUAGGGCUUUAGGCAAGAGAAC